RNAcentral lists this long non-coding RNA (1282 nucleotides) under Heterocephalus glaber (naked mole-rat). RNAcentral describes it as "lncRNA (ENSHGLG00100050050.1)". Lineage: Eukaryota; Metazoa; Chordata; Mammalia; Rodentia; Bathyergidae. The record is from RNAcentral.
GGGUGGGACACCAACUCCAUGUGUCCCCAUUGUUCCCUCACAGACUGGAAAUCAGGUGGCCUAGAGCCUGGCAGAGGUCUGCACAGUGAGGACAGCACAGCCAGGCAUGCCAGACACCCCUGAGGGAGGCCCUGGGGCAGACCUUCCUGAAAAGCUGGCCUAUCAACAGGCCCCUCCUUCCCUGACCCCAGAAGGGUCUGCAUUUCCUCCCCACAGGAAGGCAUGGUGGGAAGUCACCCUGGACCUCACAGCAAGUAUUAUCCACAGUAGCACAGAUGAAGCUUUCUGGAAUCCCUAGUUGGGGAUAAGCAACAGUGCAAGAGGAGUCCAGAAGAGGCACAAAAAAUGAGAAAAACUUGGCUACAUGAGCUACACCCUGAGGAGAGCCACCACAGGAUGGACGCCUAAUGUCCCUCAAUUCUCAGACAGUUGUGGAGCACCAGCCCUGUGCCCUUGAGUACAACCACAAAGCAGACAACAGACCCUGUCCUCUUGGAGCUGACAGUGAGGACAGGCAGGGAGUCAUGGGAUCAGGCUACCCUGAAGAAGGCAAAGGCAUUCACACCACUGAACAAGGGGUUCAUCUCAUGGAGCCUUCUGUCAGGCUCCCAGGGCUCUGGGGCAGGAAUUCUAUACCAGGCAUAGGGAGCAGAUGGGGUUCACUCAUGGACAAACUGGGCAGGAGGCUGAAAGCUAGAAUUUAUUGAUCCCCUAAUCUUAACCCUAGCACUGGUCCUUAAAUCUAAUCCUAAAUAAAACCUAAACCUAAACUUGAACCUACCUCUAAACCAUACCCCUGACCCUAACCUUCAAGACAAAAAUCUGAAACUAAACCUAAACACUAACUCUAAUAAAACCCCUCUUCAUAACAUUAAAUCUAAGCAUAUUUCAAUCCAAAUCCCUAGCCACUAACUCUAACCAUAAGAUUAACCCUGAAUGUAACCCUGAAAAUUUAUCCUAAAUCAAACCCUUAACGUACCCUUCAUGUUCACCUGAACCCUAAACAUAACAUUCAUACUCACCCUAAAUCUUAACCAUAAAUAACAUCAAACUCUAAUCCUAAUCCAUAACAUCUAACACUAACCCUAACUUCCACCCCAAUACCAUCCCAAAUCCAAUGCUAAGCGGAAACCUAGCCCUAACUCUAAGCCCCACACUACCCCUAAAGCCAAACCUAACAUAAACCCUAUCCUAAUAUCCAAUGCUAAACUUAAACCUUACUGCUAAUCCAUAUAAUAUUUUCAUCAAAGAGUCUCAGAGAGACCCCCUUUCUGUUGUUGAC